UGAAGCCGGAAUUGCUAGUAAUGGCAGGUCAGCAUACUGCCGUGAAUACGUUCCCGGGCCUUGUACACACCGCCCGUCACACCAUGAGAGUUGGGAAUACCCGAAGCCUGUGAGCUAACGUUAAGAGGCAGCAGUCGAAGGUAGAAUCAAUGAUUGGGGUGAAGUCGUAACAAGGUAGC
Molecule: ribosomal RNA, 179 nt
Filed under: uncultured bacterium
Lineage: Bacteria
Description: partial 16S ribosomal RNA
Rfam family: Bacterial small subunit ribosomal RNA
Source: RNAcentral